Catharus ustulatus (Swainson's thrush) is the source of this 222-nucleotide long non-coding RNA. RefSeq lists it as uncharacterized. Lineage: Eukaryota; Metazoa; Chordata; Aves; Passeriformes; Turdidae. The record is from RefSeq and is a predicted model, not a curated record. The transcript has 3 exons.
GAAUGAGGUCCUGGUGCACUCUCACCUUUCAAAGAGAAUCCUUCCCAUCAGCUUCACUCCUGCUCAAAGCUUGCAAAGCAGACAGGUCCUCAGAAGCCUUGCCAAAAAUAUCCUAAGUCCAAAGUUAUUUUUAAAAGGUGCGAAAGUCAAGAAAAAUCCAAGUGAAUCCAAGGCAGUGGGUAGUCCUGGCCACAGAGAUCCCAGAGACAGAGGUGAUGAUGG